UACAGAGGUCUCAAGCGUUGUUCGGAUUCAUUGGGCGUAAAGGGUGCGUAGGCGGCGCGGUAAGUCGGGUGUGAAAUCUCGGAGCUUAACUCCGAAACUGCAUUCGAUACUGCCGUGCUUGAGGACUGGAGAGGAGACUGGAAUUUACGGUGUAGCGGUGAAAUGCGUAGAUAUCGUAAGGAAGACCAGUGGCGAAGGCGGCCAUCUGGACGGUGACUGACGCUGAGACGCGAAAGCGUGGGGAGCAAACAGG
Molecule: ribosomal RNA, 253 nt
Filed under: uncultured bacterium
Lineage: Bacteria
Description: partial 16S ribosomal RNA
Rfam family: Bacterial small subunit ribosomal RNA
Source: RNAcentral